AAGAUUUCAUCAAUGAAGGUUAAAUUUCAAUUGACUAAAGUCCACUGAUAAGUUGUACAUACUAAGUAUCUAAUACUUUCAGUAUUGCCGAAGGUUUGUGUGACUUUCCAUUAAUUAUUCUUUUGAGACUAUCCAAAAGACAAAAGGAAGUCAAAGAGGACAUUGAGGCUAUAAAGAAGUGCACGCAAAGGUCUGAUGAGGAACUGCAACAGUGGGUCAUUGAUGUGACACAGUGGGCAGUUGACACACCAGAUGACCUCAGAACAGAUGAUCCAGUGGCGUUGCAACAUCUGAUUGAAGGCCUAUUCUUGGGCAUCCAGCAGAAAAAGAGGAAUCUAUAUCGAGUAACCGACCGUAACAAACAGCGACACAAGAUCCGAAGAUGGAUUAGAGAGGAUAAGAAAAAGCUGUUUAAUGCCAUAUCCCAAUACAAUGAUCUUCCAACCACCACAGAAUCUGUAGAUUCAGUUGAAGACCUUCUGGCAACAGAAAGCCCUAUCUGGCCUUGGGAUUCUGAACCUGACACUUCCUUAGGCAUGAAGAAGAAGGUUUUUGACAAGGUGAUGUAGCUGGAGAGACUGAUUGAGGAAGAGGCUAUAAUUUUAGAGGAAAUGAAACAACAUUGGACUCAUCUUACAAGAACCUGCAGGGCCUUGAAGGACCAGGCUAAUGUACUAUCAGAUGACCUGGCCACACAGAACUACCCUUCAGGACUGUCUGGUCAAGCUUACCAUGGCCUGCACAGUGCUGUCCUCCAAAAAUGUGAGGAGCUCAAAACAGACCUGGUACCUGUGAAAGAAACCUACUCCCAAAUAGUGGUAAAUGGGAAUGGUGGAACU
Cyprinus carpio carpio is the source of this 839-nucleotide long non-coding RNA. The record is from Ensembl. NCBI's taxonomy places the organism in Eukaryota, Metazoa, Chordata, Actinopteri, Cypriniformes, Cyprinidae.